AUACGAAAAAGGCAAACUUUUUGAAAAAAAGGGACGCAAAACCAGAGACUAAAACAUCCAAACGUCAUGUCCGUCCGGUUACCGCA
RNAcentral lists this non-coding RNA (86 nucleotides) under Flexilinea flocculi. Its description in RNAcentral is "c-di-GMP-I riboswitch aptamer". It matches the Rfam family "c-di-GMP-I riboswitch aptamer". From Rfam's summary of the family: GEMM was predicted in a large-scale screen for bacterial structured RNA regulatory elements. Lineage: Bacteria; Bacillati; Chloroflexota; Anaerolineae; Anaerolineales; Anaerolineaceae. RNAcentral also lists the same sequence under 1 other name. The record is from Rfam by way of RNAcentral.